This 131-nucleotide small RNA is filed under the name Citrobacter cronae. Its description in RNAcentral is "RtT sRNA". It matches the Rfam family "RtT RNA". From Rfam's summary of the family: This family represents a bacterial cis-regulatory element known as RtT RNA. The record is from RNAcentral. Lineage: Bacteria; Pseudomonadati; Pseudomonadota; Gammaproteobacteria; Enterobacterales; Enterobacteriaceae.
AUUCUUCCCAUGCAGAAAGGAUGAGAAGCUUCGACCAAGGUUCGAUUCGAGCGUCAGCGAGAAAGCGUUGCCGCAGGCAACGACCCGAAGGGCGAAGCGCGCAGCGCUGAGUCAUCAUUCCCCCACCACCA